Non-coding RNA from Polyodon spathula (Mississippi paddlefish), 409 nucleotides. The record is from the annotation of a RefSeq genome assembly. NCBI's taxonomy places the organism in Eukaryota, Metazoa, Chordata, Actinopteri, Acipenseriformes, Polyodontidae.
AUGGCAACAGAAUCCACAACAACAAUGACUUUUAUCAGCAUCUUCAUCUGGGCACUUGUCAUCUGCACUCAGGAAUCCAGUGGACAGUAUACUGUGACUCAGACUCCAGCAGUGAAAUCUGUUCUCCCAGGAGACACAGUCGCUCUGAGCUGUAAAGUCAGCAGCGCAGUGUACAGUAACAACAACCUAGCCUGGUACCAACAGAAACCUGGAGAAGCUCCCAAACUCCUGAUCUAUGCUGCAAGUAGCCUUCAGUCUGGGAUCCCAACUCGUUUCAGUGGCAGUGGAUCUGGGACUGACUUCACUCUGACCAUCAGUGGAGUCCAGGCUGAAGAUGCAGGAGAUUACUACUGUCAGAGUUUCCACUACCCCAGCAGUAGCUGCUGUGUUCACACAGUGCUACACACCC